Molecule: long non-coding RNA, 359 nt
Organism: Juglans microcarpa x Juglans regia
Lineage: Eukaryota; Viridiplantae; Streptophyta; Magnoliopsida; Fagales; Juglandaceae
Exons: 4
Source: RefSeq, a predicted model, not a curated record
UUGGUACCAAUGUUGGGGACAGUGGAUUGUGGGAAGUUGGUUCUAGGGAGUGGUUAGUUUUGAGGAAUUUCAAAGUUUGGGAUCUCAGUGCAUGUUCAAUGCCUCUGCAGGCAGCUAUUGUUAAAGAUCCUGGUGUAUCUUUUAACUGUGUGAUUUGGAGCCUUGACGGUUCUUUGUCUGGAGUUGCAUAGUCCAGGCACAUCGUUGAAAUAUAUUCUUAUCAUGGGAAUGAUAAUAUACAGCAGCACCUGGAGAUUGAUGCUUAUGUUGGCGGAGUAAAUGACAUCGCAUUCUCUGACCCAAACAAACAACUUUGUGUGAUAACUUGUGGUGACGAUAAGACCAUCAAGGUCAGUUGG